GAUGAAGAACGCAGCGAAAUGCGAUAAGUAAUGUGAAUUCCAGAAUUCAGUGAAUCAUCGAAUCUUUGAACGCACAUUGCGCCCGCCAGCAUUCUGGCGGGCAUGCCUGUUCGAGCGUCAUUUCAACCCUCGAGCCCCCCCGGGGGCCUCGGUGUUGGGGGACGGCACACCAGCCGCCCCCGAAAUGCAGUGGCGACCCCGCCGCAGCCUCCCCUGCGUAGUAGCACACACCUCGCACCGGAGCGCGGAGGCGGUCACGCCGUAAAACGCCCAACUUUCUUAGAGUUGACCUCGGAUCAGGUAGGAAUACCCGCUGAACUUAAGCAUAUCAAUAAGCGGAGGA
This 343-nucleotide unclassified non-coding RNA is filed under the name soil metagenome. RNAcentral describes it as "partial contains 5.8S ribosomal RNA, internal transcribed spacer 2, and large subunit ribosomal RNA". The stretch from base 1 to 120 matches the Rfam family "5.8S ribosomal RNA", at positions 35 to 154 of the family's 154-position model. The record is from RNAcentral.